This 397-nucleotide ribosomal RNA is filed under the name uncultured bacterium. RNAcentral describes it as "partial 16S ribosomal RNA". It matches the Rfam family "Bacterial small subunit ribosomal RNA", at positions 523 to 918 of the family's 1533-position model. The record is from RNAcentral.
AUACGUAGGGGGCGAGCGUUGUCCGGAAUUAUUGGGCGUAAAGGGCGCGUAGGCGGCGCGGUAAGUCUGGAGUGAAAGUCCUGCUUUCAAGGUGGGAAUUGCUUUGGAUACUGCCGCGCUUGAGUGCAGGAGAGGUUAUCGGAAUUCCCGGUGUAGCGGUGAAAUGCGUAGAGAUCGGGAGGAACGCCAGUGGCGAAGGCGGGUAACUGGGCUGCAACUGACGCUGAGGCGCGAAAGUGUGGGGAGCAAACAGGAUUAGAUACCCUGGUAGUCCACACUGUAAACGAUGAAUGCUAGGUGUAAGAGGGAUUGACCCCUUUUGUGCCGGAGUCAACACAAUAAGCAUUCCGCCUGGGGAGUACGGCCGCAAGGUUGAAACUCAAAUGAAUUGACGGGG